CCUACGGGUGGCUGCAGUGAGGAAUAUUGGUCAAUGGGCGCGAGCCUGAACCAGCCAAGUCGCGUGAGGGAAGACGGUCCUAUGGAUUGUAAACCUCUUUUGUCGGGGAGCAAAAGGCGCCACGCGUGGCGUUCCGAGCGUACCCGAAGAAAAAGCAUCGGCUAACUCCGUGCCAGCAGCCGCGGUAAUACGGGGGAUUCGAGCGUUAUCCGGAUUUAUUGGGUUUAAAGGGUGCGCAGGCGGAAGACAAAGUCAGCGGUAAACUUGAGGGGUUCAACCUCUUCGAGCCGUUGAAACUGGUGUACUUGAGUGAGCGAGAAGUAUGCGGAAUGCGUGGUGUAGCGGUGAAAUGCAUAGAUAUCACGCAGAACUCCGAUUGCGAAGGCAGCAUACCGGCGCUCAACUGACGCUGAUGCACGAAAGUGUGGGGAUCGAACAGGAUUAGAUACCCGGGUAGUC
This 459-nucleotide ribosomal RNA is filed under the name uncultured bacterium. Its description in RNAcentral is "partial 16S ribosomal RNA". It matches the Rfam family "Bacterial small subunit ribosomal RNA", at positions 338 to 795 of the family's 1533-position model. The record is from RNAcentral.